RNAcentral lists this ribosomal RNA (460 nucleotides) under uncultured bacterium. RNAcentral describes it as "bacterial SSU rRNA". It matches the Rfam family "Bacterial small subunit ribosomal RNA", at positions 29 to 506 of the family's 1533-position model. The record is from RNAcentral.
ACGAACGCUGGCGGCGUGCUUAACACAUGCAAGUCGAACGGUAAGGCCCUUCGGGGUACACGAGUGGCGAACGGGUGAGUAACACGUGGGUGAUCUGCCCUGCACUUUGGGAUAAGCCUGGGAAACUGGGUCUAAUACCGAAUAUGAUCAUGGCCUUCAUGGGUUGUGGUGGAAAGCUUUUGCGGUGUGGGAUGGGCCCGCGGCCUAUCAGCUUGUUGGUGGGGUAAUGGCCUACCAAGGCGACGACGGGUAGCCGGCCUGAGAGGGUGUCCGGCCACACUGGGACUGAGAUACGGCCCAGACUCCUACGGGAGGCAGCAGUGGGGAAUAUUGCACAAUGGGCGCAAGCCUGAUGCAGCGACGCCGCGUGAGGGAUGACGGCCUUCGGGUUGUAAACCUCUUUCAGUAGGGACGAAGCGCAAGUGACGGUACCUAUAGAAGAAGGACCGGCCAACUACGU